GAGUUUGAUCAUGGCUCAGAUUGAACGCUGGCGGCAUGCCUUACACAUGCAAGUCGAACGGCAGCACGGGAGCUUGCUCCUGGUGGCGAGUGGCGAACGGGUGAGUAAUGCAUCGGAACGUAUCCUGGAGUGGGGGAUAACGUAGCGAAAGUUACGCUAAUACCGCAUAUUCUGUGAGCAGGAAAGCGGGGGACCUUCGGGCCUCGCGCUCUUGGAGCGGCCGAUGUCGGAUUAGCUAGUUGGUGAGGUAAAGGCUACACCAAGGCGACGAUCCGUAGCAGGUCUGAGAGGAUGAUCUGCCACACUGGAACUGAGACACGGUCCAGACUCCUACGGGAGGCAGCAGUGGGGAAUUUUGGACAAUGGGGGCAACCCGUGAUCCAGCCAUGCCGCGUGAGUGAAG
Molecule: ribosomal RNA, 403 nt
Filed under: bacterium enrichment culture clone ALO1_GLFRUDD03GAXVA
Lineage: Bacteria
Description: bacterial SSU rRNA
Rfam family: Bacterial small subunit ribosomal RNA
Source: RNAcentral